CAGCAGCCACGGGAAUACGAAGGGGGCUAGCGUUGCUCGGAAUGACUGGGCGUAAAGGGCGCGUAGGCGGAUGGCACAGUCAGAUGUGAAAUUCCCGGGCUUAACCUGGGGGCUGCAUUUGAUACGUGUUGUCUAGAGUGAGGAAGAGGGUUGUGGAAUUCCCAGUGUAGAGGUGAAAUUCGUAGAUAUUGGGAAGAACACCGGUGGCGAAGGCGGCAACCUGGUCCUUGACUGACGCUGAGGCGCGAAAGCGUGGGGAGCAAACAGGAUUAGAUACCCCAGUAGUCCCUGUCUCUUAUAC
RNAcentral lists this ribosomal RNA (301 nucleotides) under uncultured bacterium. RNAcentral's name for it is "partial 16S ribosomal RNA". It matches the Rfam family "Bacterial small subunit ribosomal RNA", at positions 509 to 807 of the family's 1533-position model. The record is from RNAcentral.